GAUGAACGCUGGCGGCGUGCCUAAUACAUGCAAGUCGAGCGAACGGACGAGAAGCUUGCUUUUCUGAUGUUAGCGGCGGACGGGUGAGUAACACGUGGAUAACCUACCUAUAAGACUGGGAUAACUUCAGGAAACCGGAGCUAAUACCGGAUAAUAUUUUGAACCGCAUGGUUCAAAAGUGAAAGACGGUCUUGCUGUCACUUAUAGAUGGAUCCGCGCUGCAUUAGCUAGUUGGUAAGGUAACGGCUUACCAAGGCAACGAUGCAUAGCCGACCUGAGAGGGUGAUCGGCCACACUGGAACUGAGACACGGUCCAGACUCCUACGGGAGGCAGCAGUAGGGAAUCUUCCGCAAUGGGCGAAAGCCUGACGGAGCAACGCCGCGUGGGUGAUGAAGGUCUUCGGAUCGUAAAACUCUGUUAUUAGGGAAGAACAUAUGUGUAAGUAACUGUGCACAUCUUGACGGUACCUAAUCAGAAAGCCACGGCUAACUACGUG
This 497-nucleotide ribosomal RNA is filed under the name uncultured bacterium. RNAcentral's name for it is "partial 16S ribosomal RNA". It matches the Rfam family "Bacterial small subunit ribosomal RNA", at positions 28 to 507 of the family's 1533-position model. The record is from RNAcentral.